RNAcentral lists this non-coding RNA (30 nucleotides) under Homo sapiens (human). Lineage: Eukaryota; Metazoa; Chordata; Mammalia; Primates; Hominidae. The record is from RNAcentral.
UAAAAUUGACAUUUCUACAUGUGAAGAUGC